AUAGCUUUUUGCAGCGUUCAAAUUGAGUUCAGUGCAUCGGUAUGCUUUUAAGUGAUUUGUAGUUCUCAGGGAAUCAGUCAUUGUUAAAAUGAUGUGCAAAACAUUUGUGAUUGAGGAGAACUUCACAAAUGUUCUCUUAACAUGUGGGUUGUGUCUGUGACUUAGAAACACAAUAUAUAAGUCAGUCUCGUUAUGAGUUGUGGGUUUCUAUGUUCAUGUUUAUGUGUUUACUUACGCUUAUAAACUGAGUAGUCUUGUACUUUUUUAGUUUACUUGUAGUACUUGUAAGUGUGUUUAAAGAAGAAGCGUAAGU
RNAcentral lists this long non-coding RNA (313 nucleotides) under Brassica napus (rape). RNAcentral describes it as "long non-coding RNA (BNAP_LNC023747)". The record is from RNAcentral. Lineage: Eukaryota; Viridiplantae; Streptophyta; Magnoliopsida; Brassicales; Brassicaceae.